ACCUGCUGAAGGAUCAUUC
This 19-nucleotide ribosomal RNA is filed under the name uncultured Craterellus. RNAcentral describes it as "partial 18S ribosomal RNA". The record is from RNAcentral. Lineage: Eukaryota; Fungi; Basidiomycota; Agaricomycetes; Cantharellales; Hydnaceae.